GAAGGCGGGAAAAGAAACUAACUACACAAAGACUUGAAUAGUAAGCUGCAUUUUGUCUAACAAACUAAUCUUCUAGAAUAAAUUACUCUAGCUCGGUAGCUAAGCUUUUGCACUUAAUCUCUCUGCAUUGUAACUGCUCUUUCUCUUGUCAUAAUAGUUGAAUUUGUAUGUAUAAUCUGAGUUGUGUAAACUAAAUGGUUGUUCUUGAUUGGAAAUUCCUUUAAACAUUAUUAUCCGAUUAAUUGUUUGAUUGAGCUGACAUGUGAUCUUUGGAGUUGGACAUUUGAUCUUGCUCUUUGUGCAUAUGAGCUUGGACUAACAUGUCCACAAAUUGGUUUGCUUAUUAAUAGGUGAUUACUUUCUCUCAAGUAUGUUCUCACAAAAUGUCCCCUAACUAUAUUGGUGCAAUUUCAACUGGAACUCUAGGUAUUGAGAGUUGGUUUAGGUAAUCUGGAGCUAUGUCUCCACUGAGCCAUUCUGAGUUGCACUGACUUAAAGCCUAGUUGGGUAUUUGAGUGUUGAAUCAUUCUGGUUUUGAACAUUGUCAAGGUGAAUGGAAUUUUUUUCUUUCUUUC
Molecule: unclassified non-coding RNA, 575 nt
Filed under: Hevea brasiliensis (rubber tree)
Lineage: Eukaryota; Viridiplantae; Streptophyta; Magnoliopsida; Malpighiales; Euphorbiaceae
Source: RNAcentral